GCGGGUGUAGUUCAAUGGCAGAACACCAGCCUUCCAAGCUGGAUACGUGGGUUCGAUUCCCAUCACCCGCUCCA
This 74-nucleotide transfer RNA is filed under the name Oscillospiraceae bacterium. RNAcentral describes it as "tRNA-Gly". It matches the Rfam family "tRNA". From Rfam's summary of the family: Transfer RNA (tRNA) molecules are approximately 80 nucleotides in length. Their secondary structure includes four short double-helical elements and three loops (D, anti-codon, and T loops). Further hydrogen bonds mediate the characteristic L-shaped molecular structure. tRNAs have two regions of fundamental functional importance: the anti-codon, which is responsible for specific mRNA codon recognition, and the 3' end, to which the tRNAs corresponding amino acid is attached (by aminoacyl-tRNA synthetases). tRNAs cope with the degeneracy of the genetic code in two manners: having more than one tRNA (with a specific anti-codon) for a particular amino acid; and 'wobble' base-pairing, i.e. permitting non-standard base-pairing at the 3rd anti-codon position. RNAcentral also lists the same sequence under 1 other name. Lineage: Bacteria; Bacillati; Bacillota; Clostridia; Eubacteriales; Oscillospiraceae. The record is from RNAcentral.